UUACGGCCAUAUCACGUUGAAAAAUCGGUUCCCGUACGAUCACCGAAGUUAAUCAACAUCGAGCCUGGUCAGUAGUACCUAGAUGGGUGACCGCUUGGG
Acanthosepion pharaonis is the source of this 99-nucleotide non-coding RNA. The record is from the annotation of a GenBank genome assembly. Lineage: Eukaryota; Metazoa; Mollusca; Cephalopoda; Sepiida; Sepiidae.